RNAcentral lists this ribosomal RNA (669 nucleotides) under Phormidium cf. irriguum LEGE 00055. RNAcentral's name for it is "bacterial SSU rRNA". It matches the Rfam family "Bacterial small subunit ribosomal RNA", at positions 100 to 801 of the family's 1533-position model. Lineage: Bacteria; Bacillati; Cyanobacteriota; Cyanophyceae; Oscillatoriales; Oscillatoriaceae. The record is from RNAcentral.
GGACGGGUGAGUAACGCGUGAGAAUCUAGCUUCAGAAUGGGGACAACAGAGGGAAACCGCUGCUAAUACCCGAUGUGCCGAAAGGUGAAAGAUUUAUCGUCUGAAGAUGAGCUCGCGUCCGAUUAGCUAGUUGGUAGAGUAAGAGCCUACCAAGGCGACGAUCGGUAGCUGGUCUGAGAGGAUGACCAGCCACACUGGGACUGAGACACGGCCCAGACUCCUACGGGAGGCAGCAGUGGGGAAUUUUCCGCAAUGGGCGAAAGCCUGACGGAGCAAGACCGCGUGAGGGAGGAAGGCUCUUGGGUUGUAAACCUCUUUUCUCUGGGAAGAAGACAAUGACGGUACCAGAGGAAUCAGCAUCGGCUAACUCCGUGCCAGCAGCCGCGGUAAUACGGAGGAUGCAAGCGUUAUCCGGAAUUAUUGGGCGUAAAGCGUCCGUAGGUGGCAAUUCAAGUCUGCCGUUAAAACCAGUGGCUUAACCACUGACAGGCGGUGGAAACUGAAUAGCUAGAGUGUGGUAGGGGUAGAGGGAAUUCCCAGUGUAGCGGUGAAAUGCGUAGAGAUUGGGAAGAACACCGGUGGCGAAAGCGCUCUGCUGGACCACAACUGACACUCACAGGACGAAAGCUAGGGGAGCGAAAGGGAUUAGAUACCCCUGUAGUCCUAGCC